This is a non-coding RNA of Tricladium varicosporioides, 96 nucleotides long. NCBI's taxonomy places the organism in Eukaryota, Fungi, Ascomycota, Leotiomycetes, Helotiales, Tricladiaceae. The record is from the annotation of a GenBank genome assembly.
GGUUGAUUAGUGUAGUGGUUAGCACGCAAGAUUCUGAUUGGAUGUGAUAAGUCCACGAUGUUUCUUGAGUCCCCGGUUCGAACCCGGGAUCGACCU